Molecule: small nucleolar RNA, 140 nt
Organism: Fundulus heteroclitus (mummichog)
Lineage: Eukaryota; Metazoa; Chordata; Actinopteri; Cyprinodontiformes; Fundulidae
Source: Ensembl
CUGCACUGUCUUUGAACCUGGCGGGUCUUGUCCAUGACCUCCUUGGCCAAGCUACAGUGCUACAGCAAACGUAAGCUUGCUCAUAACUGGGGCCUCCUGGCAACAUCCCCGGGUCGCCUUUUUAAAUGCAGGCUACAUUA